This 465-nucleotide ribosomal RNA is filed under the name Vreelandella stevensii. RNAcentral describes it as "partial 16S ribosomal RNA". It matches the Rfam family "Bacterial small subunit ribosomal RNA", at positions 338 to 795 of the family's 1533-position model. The record is from RNAcentral. Lineage: Bacteria; Pseudomonadati; Pseudomonadota; Gammaproteobacteria; Oceanospirillales; Halomonadaceae.
CCUACGGGAGGCUGCAGUGGGGAAUAUUGGACAAUGGGGGCAACCCUGAUCCAGCCAUGCCGCGUGUGUGAAGAAGGCCCUCGGGUUGUAAAGCGCUUUCAGUGAGGAAGAACGCCUGGUGGUUAAUACCCAUCAGGAAAGACAUCACUCACAGAAGAAGCACCGGCUAACUCCGUGCCAGCAGCCGCGGUAAUACGGAGGGUGCGAGCGUUAAUCGGAAUUACUGGGCGUAAAGCGCGCGUAGGUGGCUUGAUAAGCCGGUUGUGAAAGCCCCGGGCUCAACCUGGGAACGGCAUCCGGAACUGUCAAGCUAGAGUGCAGGAGAGGAAGGUAGAAUUCCCGGUGUAGCGGUGAAAUGCGUAGAGAUCGGGAGGAAUACCAGUGGCGAAGGCGGCCUUCUGGACUGACACUGACACUGAGGUGCGAAAGCGUGGGUAGCAAACAGGAUUAGAUACCCCGGUAGUC